This is a non-coding RNA of Chiroxiphia lanceolata (lance-tailed manakin), 1121 nucleotides long. Lineage: Eukaryota; Metazoa; Chordata; Aves; Passeriformes; Pipridae. The record is from the annotation of a RefSeq genome assembly.
AUGCGGCGCUGGCGGGGCGCGGGGCUGGCGGCGCUGGCCGCGGUGCUGCUCGUGGCUGCAGGCAGAGCCCAGGUGCAGCAGGAGCCGUUGGCACAAACCCCCGAGGGCACGGAAAUCACCAUCAACUGCUCACACCCCAACAUAGGGACUGGUGACUAUAUCCACUGGUACCGUCAGCUCCCGGGCCGCGGCCCCGAAUUCCUCGCACUUAUUGUUCGAGGCUCCAAAGAUCUGCCGGACAAGGUGGGACAGGUGUCGGUGUCACCAGACCGUCGCUGGAGCACCCUCUGGCUCUCCGGGCCCCGUGCUGGGGACGCGGCGGUGUAUUACUGCGCCGUGGGAGACACGGCCAGAGGAGCCGGGGCUGCGGCCGGGCACGAACCGCCGCGGGCGGGGCCGGGCGGGGCCGGGGGCACAGCGCCGGCCGGGGACAGCAAGACACAUGCUGCAAAUCCCACCUGAGCUCAGGUUCACUGACACUAUUGUCUUUGGAGCUUUUUAUUGUGUCUACAGCUGAGCAAAGAAACAUCCCUGCGAAAAUGGCAUUUCACUCCUACCUAAAGCACAGGUUUGUGACAGAAUGUCUGGGUGCCAAGUGACAUACACAGCACAGCACAGGUCUGGGCAUACUCCAGUCAGCUGCAAUGUGUGUCCCUGACUUCUCCUGAGAAAUCGUCUCCUGGAUAUUCUGAUCCAUUCCGGGCAGGCACCGAGAUUCUCUGGUUCAUGAGGAUCUUUUGUUUGGGUAGGGGGAGAAUUCUGACGUUGCCCGCAGUGUGGAAAAGGGACAGACAGACAGACAGACAGUGAAACCAGCCUUUUUGGGCCGAAAUCAGCAGCAGCGGAGCGAGAGCUGUGGAGGGACAGGAAGAGAAGGGCUCCGGAGACAGGAGCUGCAUUUCUCUGCCUCUCCCGGGACACAGCUGUAGGGGGCAGGUGCCGUCACCACUCAGCUGCACCCACGCUCCUUCUGACCCUGGCAACGUGCUGCGUUGUGGAGUUCAGGGCCAGAGCAGAGGACGAUAUCCCUGGAAUAGGAAAUCUCAACAACACCCAUGAACUUCCCAUGAGGGUGUUGCGAUCUGCUUAAAUAUUGCAGAAAGUGGUUUUAGAUUCGAAUA